This 394-nucleotide ribosomal RNA is filed under the name Salmonella enterica. Its description in RNAcentral is "partial 23S ribosomal RNA". It matches the Rfam family "Bacterial large subunit ribosomal RNA", at positions 137 to 569 of the family's 2925-position model. The record is from RNAcentral. RNAcentral also lists the same sequence under 2 other names. Lineage: Bacteria; Pseudomonadati; Pseudomonadota; Gammaproteobacteria; Enterobacterales; Enterobacteriaceae.
GACUCGUCACACUAUCAUUAACUGAAUCCAUAGGUUAAUGAGGCGAACCGGGGGAACUGAAACAUCUAAGUACCCCGAGGAAAAGAAAUCAACCGAGAUUCCCCCAGUAGCGGCGAGCGAACGGGGAGGAGCCCAGAGCCUGAAUCAGCAUGUGUGUUAGUGGAAGCGUCUGGAAAGGCGCGCGAUACAGGGUGACAGCCCCGUACACAAAAGCGCAUGUGCUGUGAGCUCGAUGAGUAGGGCGGGACACGUGGUAUCCUGUCUGAAUAUGGGGGGACCAUCCUCCAAGGCUAAAUACUCCUGACUGACCGAUAGUGAACCAGUACCGUGAGGGAAAGGCGAAAAGAACCCCGGCGAGGGGAGUGAAAAAGAACCUGAAACCGUGUACGUACAA